Molecule: RNA transcript, 3172 nt
Organism: Hydra vulgaris (swiftwater hydra)
Lineage: Eukaryota; Metazoa; Cnidaria; Hydrozoa; Anthoathecata; Hydridae
Source: RefSeq, a predicted model, not a curated record
GUAAAAAAACUAACGCCAAUAUAACGGAUGAAUUUGAAAUAAGGAAAUGUUAUCCGUUAUAUUGGCGUUAUAUUGGCGUUAUAUUUCUUUGUGUGCGUCAUAAUUUGUGCACGCUUGAUCGAUUCUUUUCAAAUGAUGAACUCAAUCCGUUGUAUUCAUCACUUAAAUUCAUCCGUUAUAUUAGGCGUUAUAUUAUUUCGUUCUCAGGCUCUUCAUAUUCCGAACCUUGAAGACAGUUGAUGAUAAUACAUUAUAAAAAAAUAUAUUUAAUUUGAAUUACCAUGAAGGCAAUAAAAGUCACUUUCAAAAAUCGAAGCGAAAUAGUUGUUGCAAAUUCCGAUUUGUUUGCAUUUGUUCAACAAGUCUGUCUAACAUUUGGUGUCAGUCAAAUUAUUGGUUUGAAAUGGCUAGGAUGCUCAGUUCACGAAACAAAUUUUAAAGCAUUGCUAAAUGAACAAUCACUAGAAUUUGUAGUCGAUAUACAAGAACUUGAUCAAAUCAAUAAACAACCUCUGUCUCAAUCUUCCUGUUCUUAUACUGAUCCUCAAUCAUCAUGCUCCACGUCAUAUAGCUUUCUUACCGACUUGCAAAGUAAUGAAAUUUUUGCUGAAGACGUUAUUAGCAAGCAAAGACGCUUAGAUAAUCUAUUUCCAGUUAUUUUUUCAUCCACUGGUCCUUCAGCUCAAAUCAAUCAAACUUCACCUAAUAUUAAAAAUCAAACUCCGCAAUGUUCAAGAGAUAGUAUAUCUUCAAAUAAAAAUAAGUUGACAGAGAUCUUCAAUCCGAAGCGAAAGGUAUUUUUAUAUAAAUGUAACUGCUGUACUUUUCAAUCUUCUAGGUAUUGUAUGAUGAAAAAUCACUUGCGUAUUCAUGGAAACAAAGGUUCAAUUAUUUGUGAUACUUGCUAUUCAAAGUUUAAAACGCUCUACGGAUUUCAAAAGCAUACUGAGCAAUGUUCAGCGCUUGUAGAGAAUAGUUUUGAUGUUGAUUCAAUUGAAGAAGCAGAAAAAUAUCAAAUAACUGAUGAUUAUUUAGGAGCUUUAGCUUUGCAUCUUCAAGGUAAACACAGGUGUGCUCAAAAUAUUUUAGAUUCAAUAUUUCUGCAUCUAAAGGAAAUGCUGUCUGUGUCAAAUAUUGAUGUAUGCAAAUUAAAAUCUUGUUGUGAAAUUUUAACAUCUCAAAGUUGCCGCGAGACAUAUUUUGUUAGGGUAUUCAAAAUGCCUUUAGUUAAAUCUGUUGGUCUCAAAAAACAAGGUUGUGUUGUACCCUUUUUAGACACCUUAUCAUUUUUAUUUCAAUCUCCUGAGAUUGCAAAGUUUGUUGAUAGUAAAAUCAGUAUUGCUAUUUAUUGUGAUGAUCUUGGUAUCACAAAUCCUAUUGGUAAAGCACGGUCUAGACACAAACUUUGGGCAAUGUAUUUUCAAAUUCUUAAUAUCCCUGCAAAAUACCGUGGAAGAACAUCAACCAUAUUUCCUUUAGCAUUUACAGGUAGUAAGAUGAUUAAAGACAAUAUAUUCUUCCAUGCACUGUUGACUGACUUUAUUGAUGCUAUGUCAAAACUUAUGACAGGGAUAGUGAUAACAGUGUUAGGAGUUCCCAAAGUAUUGACAGGUGAGUUAUGUUAUUUUUCUGGUGAUUCAUUAGCUGCAAAUGCUAUUGGUGGAUUUAAAGAAGGUUUUAGCAGGAAGACAGUUCGAUGCUGUAGAGUUUGUAAUUCAACAAGAGGGCAGAUGUAUGCAAACACUAGGCAUGAACAAUGCUCUAUACGUGAUUUAAAAGAACAUUUAAUUAGAGUAAAUGAAUUAGAUUCUGGUCUUAGACCUAAAGAUAGAAUUAAAUGGUCAAAAUAUUAUGGGAUUUCUUCAUCAAGUGUUCUUUCGUCAGUUCCAUUAUUUGAUGUAACAAAGCAAAUCUUAUUUGACCCUAUGCAUGAUCUAUUAGAAGGUGUUGUUCCUCUUCAGUUAGAACUGUUUUUUUCAUACGCUAUUGAAAAUAAUUUUUUAACAAUAUUGUCAUUAAAUACAUGGCUCCAAUCAUUUGUGUAUCCAGCUGGCAUUGAAAAGCCUGGUGUAAUUUUAAAAACAUGUAAAAUCAAAGGGAGUUUUGGAAGUGGUCAAAUACUUACUCUUACACGAGUUUUACCUUUUUUUUUAGUGAAAAAUUUUUUGGCUCAUAAUGAACAUCUUAAAUGCUUGCUAAAAUUGAUUCAAAUAGUUCAACUAUGCAUGUCUCCAGUCAUAACAGAAAAAUACAUUACUGAUUUGAAAGAUAUCAUUGCUAUGCAUCAUGAACUAUUUUUGGGUUUAUACCCACAUAAAUUUAUACCUAAGCUCCAUUUUCUUAUCCACUAUCCAGCUCAGGCUGCUACUUCAGGGCCUUUGAGGGAGCACAUGUGCAUGGCUUUUGAGCGCAAACAUCAAGUGGUUAAGAAUUAUCGACAUUUUAACUUUAAGAACAUUCCUUAUACAGCCUGUAAAACAAUGAUUGCAAACACCACUGCUCAGUUUUUUAAUUCAAUUGGUGCAAUUAAAGCUGAUGUCUAUUGUAAUGAGGAUGAACUAAAAUACUUGUCAGGAGCAAUACAAAGUGCAAAUAUUGAUGGCAUUUUAUAUAAAAUUGGGUCUGUAAUCACUGUUUUUGAGAACGACCAGUUUAUUUACCAUCAAAUCAAUAAGAUAGUAUCAAUAUCUGGAAAAAGACACUUUGAAACAACCAAAUUAGAUACUUUACUCUCAAAUGUUUAUUCCACCUGCAAAUUACCUUCAUUUUCUUUAACUAAUAUUGUAUUUCCUGAGACAUUACAGUUUCCAUGGUGCGCAAUUGGACUAUCAGUUAGUGAUGCUAUCCUUGUGUUUCCACUUGCCAUUCCAAAUUUGUCUUUUGAUGGUAUUUCAAAUCAGCUAACACAAGAAACUAGUUAAACUUUAAUAUCUUAAAAACCCUACAUAACCAUAUUUCAGGCUUAUCUUUAUUUAAAUGUCUAAAGUUAAACUUCCUCAAUCAGAUGUCGAUCUUCUGAUGACUUAUUUUUCUGUACCAGUUAUACAAUUGCUCAAUGGAGUUAGUAAUGUUUUUGUUUUGAAAGAACUGAAGAAUGCACUAACUCAAUUUUCAUCAUUAAAGGUUAUUAAUAAUGACCAUUUUGGUAACAGGGAGUUCUUCUCACGACUCA